UCAUGAAACACCAAGGGCAUCAAGUUGUUGGACAGUGACCAGGAGUUGUAUAAGAACUUCCCGCUGGUCAUCUCAGAGCGCUGGCAGCAGGAGGUGGCUGAGACGGUGUACGAGGCGGUCAACUCCGACACGGACAAGAACGAGGCCCGCAAGAGGGCCAAGAACAAACAGCUGGGCCACGAGGAGGACUAUGCCCUGGGGAAGGACUGUAUAAUGCACGGCUACAUGUUAAAGCUGGGGAACCCGUUCCUGACGCAGUGGCAGCGCCGAUACUUCUACCUGUUCCCCAACCGAGUGGAGUGGAGGGGAGAGGGGGAGUCACGGGUGAGCAACACACACCUC
This is a long non-coding RNA of Oncorhynchus nerka (sockeye salmon), 342 nucleotides long. RefSeq lists it as uncharacterized. The record is from RefSeq and is a predicted model, not a curated record. NCBI's taxonomy places the organism in Eukaryota, Metazoa, Chordata, Actinopteri, Salmoniformes, Salmonidae. The transcript is spliced from 3 exons.